UCGUGGAUUGAUUUGUCUGGUCUAUUCCGCUAACGAGCGAGAACCUACCCUCUCGUGGUUAGGCCCCUGGGCAUGCUGGAGCUGCUUCGGUGGCACCGGCUGAAAACGCCCUUGGGUUCGAUCCGGAGGGACCGUCUUCGACAAGGUGAUGGCAGCAGGUCAAUAACA
RNAcentral lists this ribosomal RNA (168 nucleotides) under uncultured eukaryote. RNAcentral describes it as "partial 18S ribosomal RNA". The record is from RNAcentral.